RNAcentral lists this ribosomal RNA (440 nucleotides) under uncultured Comamonadaceae bacterium. Its description in RNAcentral is "bacterial SSU rRNA". It matches the Rfam family "Bacterial small subunit ribosomal RNA", at positions 936 to 1382 of the family's 1533-position model. The record is from RNAcentral. Lineage: Bacteria; Pseudomonadati; Pseudomonadota; Betaproteobacteria; Burkholderiales; Comamonadaceae.
AUGAUGUGGAUUAAUUCGAUGCAACGCGAAAACCUUACUACCCUUGACAUGCCAGGAACUUGCCAGAGAUGGCUUGGUGCCCGAAAGGGAGCCUGGACACAGGUGCUGCAUGGCUGUCGUCAGCUCGUGUCGUGAGAUGUUGGGUUAAGUCCCGCAACGAGCGCAACCCUUGUCAUUAGUUGCUACGAAAGGGCACUCUAAUGAGACUGCCGGUGACAAACCGGAGGAAGGUGGGGAUGACGUCAAGUCCUCAUGGCCCUUAUAGGUGGGGCUACACACGUCAUACAAUGGCUGGUACAAAGGGUUGCCAACCCGCGAGGGGGAGCCAAUCCCAUAAAGCCAGUCGUAGUCCGGAUCGCAGUCUGCAACUCGACUGCGUGAAGUCGGAAUCGCUAGUAAUCGUGGAUCAGCAUGUCACGGUGAAUACGUUCCCGGGUCUU